CCUACGGGAGGCAGCAGUGAGGAAUAUUGGUCAAUGGGCGGAAGCCUGAACCAGCCAAGUAGCGUGCGGGAUGAAGGCCCUACGGGUCGUAAACCGCUUUUGCACGGGGAUAACACCCUCCACUUGUGGAGGUCUGCAGGUACCGUGCGAAUAAGGGCCGGCUAAUUCCGUGCCAGCAGCCGCGGUAAUACGGAAGGCCCGAGCGUUAUCCGGAUUCAUUGGGCUUAAAGGGAGCGUAGGCGGGCGUUCAAGUCAGCUGUAAAAGCGCGCGGCGCAACCGCGCCCCGCAGUUGAAACUGGACGCCUUGAGUUCACAACAGGCAGGCGGAAUUCGUGGUGUAGCGGUGAAAUGCAUAGAUAUCACGAGGAACCACGAUUGCGAAGGCAGCCUGCCGGGGUGCGACUGACGCUGAGGCUCGAAGGUGCGGGUAUCAAACAGGAUUAGAUACCCUAGUAGUC
This 459-nucleotide ribosomal RNA is filed under the name uncultured bacterium. RNAcentral's name for it is "partial 16S ribosomal RNA". It matches the Rfam family "Bacterial small subunit ribosomal RNA", at positions 338 to 795 of the family's 1533-position model. The record is from RNAcentral.